Long non-coding RNA from Camelus dromedarius (Arabian camel), 433 nucleotides. RefSeq lists it as uncharacterized. The transcript has 2 exons. Lineage: Eukaryota; Metazoa; Chordata; Mammalia; Artiodactyla; Camelidae. The record is from RefSeq and is a predicted model, not a curated record.
GGGGGUGGUGGUGUGGGAGAGUUGACCAGGAUCUCGUGUCCCGCCUCCUUCCUCCCUCUGUCCCUCCAUGCUCUUCCUCCCUCUGCAUUUCAUUCUCCUCGUGCCUGGGCGUCAGCCAGCGGGUGGGGUCGUGGAAAGGCAUCUUCUCCACAGUCGUGGAAGAUGAUCUGAACCCUCUGGCGUACGGAUCCAGAAAAACUUCCUCCCAACAAAAUGCUUCCCAAUUUGCAGCCACGCUGUUGACGCUAACAAGUCACACUUGCUGUUCCGAGCUGGGAAUUCCCUUCGUUGUUCCAGUGGGUGUCAGUUUGUCUUUUUAUCGAUGAGCCGUGUUCCACGUGUGGAUAGGAGCCACCUUGUCCACUCACUUGCUGGUGGACCUUCGGCUUGUUUCCAGUUUUCGACUGUGACAAAUAAAGCUGCUGUGAACAUU